RNAcentral lists this small nuclear RNA (179 nucleotides) under Strigops habroptila (Kakapo). Its description in RNAcentral is "U1 spliceosomal RNA (ENSSHBG00005016899.1)". It matches the Rfam family "U1 spliceosomal RNA". Rfam says of the family: U1 is a small nuclear RNA (snRNA) component of the spliceosome (involved in pre-mRNA splicing). Lineage: Eukaryota; Metazoa; Chordata; Aves; Psittaciformes; Psittacidae. The record is from RNAcentral.
UUGUUUGCCUGGUAUGGGAGGCUCCAUGUCAUGGAAGGUGGAUUUUCUAGGCUGAAGCCAAUCCUUUGCACUCCAGAUGUGCUGACCCCUGUAACUUCCCAGAUGCUGAUCCCUGUAUUUUCCCAGGGACCUCAGCUGCGUGAUUUUUGAUAGGAAGAGACUGUCUGCACCUUUUCUUG